Molecule: ribosomal RNA, 114 nt
Filed under: Neogale vison (American mink)
Lineage: Eukaryota; Metazoa; Chordata; Mammalia; Carnivora; Mustelidae
Source: RNAcentral
GUCUACGGCCAUACCACCCUGAACGCGCCCGAUCUCGUCUGAUCUCGGAAGCUAAGCAGGGUCGGGCCUGGUUAGUACUUGGAUGGGAGGCCAAAAUUAACAAGACAGUAAAUA